UUUAACACAAAGCUCUCAAAAUGUUGUCGGUAAUCUCCGUGUACAGAUUACAAAUAAAGAGACUCACGCUGGGUACAUAUGAUACAGAGUGGUGGUAGAUCAGCGGCGAUUAAAACUAGUGACUGAGACAGCCAUAAUAUUAUAGAUCCUAUUCAAGACAUGCAGACAAUAGGACGCACUGCCUAGAGAAGUUUGAAAUGAACUCCAGCCAUUUAACGCUUUGAAAUUGUCUACACGCAAAUCCGCAGCAAAUUCUAAUGCCUUCUCC
This 268-nucleotide long non-coding RNA is filed under the name Gigantopelta aegis. RNAcentral's name for it is "uncharacterized LOC121368292, transcript variant X1". Lineage: Eukaryota; Metazoa; Mollusca; Gastropoda; Neomphalida; Peltospiridae. The record is from RNAcentral.